ACUCCUACGGGAGGCAGCAGUGGGGAAUAUUGCACAAUGGGGGAAACCCUGAUGCAGCCAUGCCGCGUGUGUGAAGAAGGCCUUCGGGUUGUAAAGCACUUUCAGUAGGGAGGAAGGUAGUGUAGUUAACACCUGCAUUAUUUGACGUUACCUACAGAAGAAGCACCGGCUAACUCCGUGCCAGCAGCCGCGGUAAUACGGAGGGUGCAAGCGUUGUCCGGAUUUAUUGGGUUUAAAGGGUGCGUAGGCGGCCUGUUAAGUCAGUGGUGAAAGGUAUCAGCUCAACUGAUGACGUGCCAUUGAAACUGGCGGGCUUGAGUACAGACGAGGUAGGCGGAAUUUAUGGUGUAGCGGUGAAAUGCAUAGAUACCAUAAAGAACACCGAUAGCGAAGGCAGCUUACUAGGCUGAGACUGACGCUGAGGCACGAAAGCGUGGGGAGCGAACAGGAUUAGA
RNAcentral lists this ribosomal RNA (455 nucleotides) under uncultured bacterium. RNAcentral describes it as "bacterial SSU rRNA". It matches the Rfam family "Bacterial small subunit ribosomal RNA", at positions 335 to 782 of the family's 1533-position model. The record is from RNAcentral.